RNAcentral lists this ribosomal RNA (439 nucleotides) under uncultured bacterium. Its description in RNAcentral is "bacterial SSU rRNA". It matches the Rfam family "Bacterial small subunit ribosomal RNA", at positions 30 to 479 of the family's 1533-position model. The record is from RNAcentral.
AUUGAACGCUGGCGGCAUGCCUAACACAUGCAAGUCGAACGAGAUUAAAGGGGCAACCCUUUAAUUUAGUGGCGGACGGGUGCGGAAUGCGUAGGAAUCUACCCUAAAGUGGGGAAUAACUCGGGGAAACCCGAGCUAAUACCGCAUAUGCUCUACGGAGUAAAGGGGGCGCAAGCUCUCGCUAUAGGAUGAGCCUACGUCGGAUUAGCUAGUUGGCGGGGUAAUAGCCCACCAAGGCAACGAUCCGUAGCUGGUCUGAGAGGAUGACCAGCCACACUGGGACUGAGAUACGGCCCAGACUCCUACGGGAGGCAGCAGUGGGGAAUAUUGGACAAUGGGCGAAAGCCUGAUCCAGCAAUGCCGCGUGUGUGAAGAAGGCCUUCGGGUUGUAAAGCACUUUCAGUGGGGAAGAAAAGUUUAGGGUUAAUACCUCUAAGCC